UUACCGCCGUUGCCUCGGCGGGCCGCGUUCGCCCGUGUAGUUUACUACCUGGCGGCGCGCUACAGGCCCGCCGGUGGACUGUUAAACUCUGUUAUAUAUACGUAUUUCUGAAUGCUUCAACUUAAUAAGUUAAAACUUUCAACAACGGAUCUCUUGGUUCUGGCAUCGAUGAAGAACGCAGCGAAAUGCGAUAAGUAAUGUGAAUUGCAGAAUUCAGUGAAUCAUCGAAUCUUUGAACGCACAUUGCGCCCAUUAGUAUUCUAGUGGGCAUGCCUGUUCGAGCGUCAUUUCAACCCUUAAGCCCCUGUUGCUUAGCGUUGGGAAUCUAGGUCUCCAGGGCCUAGUUCCCCAAAGUCAUCGGCGGAGUCGGAGCGUACUCUCAGCGUAGUAAUACCAUUCUCGCUUUUGCAGUAGCCCCGGCGGCUUGCCGUAAAACCCCUAUAUCUUUAGUGGUUGACCUCGAAUCAGGUAGGAAUACCCGCUGAACUUAAGCAUAUCAAA
This 501-nucleotide ribosomal RNA is filed under the name Daldinia eschscholtzii. Its description in RNAcentral is "eukaryotic LSU rRNA". The stretch from base 134 to 287 matches the Rfam family "5.8S ribosomal RNA". The record is from RNAcentral. Lineage: Eukaryota; Fungi; Ascomycota; Sordariomycetes; Xylariales; Hypoxylaceae.